GGUCCCGUAGCUCAGUUGGAUAGAGCAGCUGCCUUCUAAGCAGCGGGUCGGGAGUUCGAAUCUUCCCGGGAUCGCCA
This 77-nucleotide transfer RNA is filed under the name Paracoccaceae bacterium. Its description in RNAcentral is "Rhodobacteraceae bacterium (marine metagenome) tRNA-Arg". It matches the Rfam family "tRNA". Rfam says of the family: Transfer RNA (tRNA) molecules are approximately 80 nucleotides in length. Their secondary structure includes four short double-helical elements and three loops (D, anti-codon, and T loops). Lineage: Bacteria; Pseudomonadati; Pseudomonadota; Alphaproteobacteria; Rhodobacterales; Paracoccaceae. The record is from RNAcentral.